Molecule: long non-coding RNA, 297 nt
Filed under: Elaeis guineensis (African oil palm)
Lineage: Eukaryota; Viridiplantae; Streptophyta; Magnoliopsida; Arecales; Arecaceae
Description: long non-coding RNA (EGUI_LNC038397)
Source: RNAcentral
CUCCCCCCCACGUCUAUUUAAAGGGAUGAAGUCUCUUGUGAAACCCCACCAUUGGCCAUCAUUAUUCACCAAAAAGAAGCCAUCUUCUUUAUCAUCGAGUCCGCUGGAUUUCAACCAAUAGUCACUGGAAAAACUAGAUAAGAUGCCAUAUUUCUUUGAGUUUUCAUCUUUUCACUCUUCCUCACCCUUAGAAACUUGAUUUGCGACCGACAAGUGCCAGAUUUCUCUUGGGACAAACCGAUCCUAUGUUUCCUAUUUUUCAUUGAGUUUCUUUGAAUUUUUAGUGGCAAUCAUCAC